UUAAUUGAAGCCAAAAAGAGGCUUAUCACUGUUAAUGAUAUAAAUGAGUAAUACUCCAAUUAAA
This 64-nucleotide transfer RNA is filed under the name Senotainia albifrons. RNAcentral's name for it is "tRNA-Asn". The record is from RNAcentral. Lineage: Eukaryota; Metazoa; Arthropoda; Insecta; Diptera; Tachinidae.